Non-coding RNA from Ictidomys tridecemlineatus (thirteen-lined ground squirrel), 362 nucleotides. NCBI's taxonomy places the organism in Eukaryota, Metazoa, Chordata, Mammalia, Rodentia, Sciuridae. The record is from RefSeq and is a predicted model, not a curated record.
GUGUUCCAAGUCCCAGUCCCAUGGAGAGACCAUCUGCCAUGUUCUGUUGCCUGUCCCAGUUGAGCUCAAACUUCAAAUCAUGCCAGCCCAGACAACAGGUCUCCAGAUCCUGCUUCCCUGCUUUGGUGGAUACAUAUGACAGAAAGAAUCAAAGGAGCAUUUAAUAAGCACCAGCUACAUGGCAAGUUCUAAGCAAGGUUUGCUGCUACCUACCUCACAGUGUGGUCCUGAAGAUCAGAUGAUCAAGUACGGGGCAAGUGCACCAUCCAGUGAGGUCACUCCUCUCCACUGCCCGACGUCUAGGGACUCUGUGCUGGUCUUUGAGGAAGUGCAAUUUAUUAAAUACAUAUGCUUUCAAAGGA